Molecule: transfer RNA, 59 nt
Filed under: Cavia porcellus (domestic guinea pig)
Lineage: Eukaryota; Metazoa; Chordata; Mammalia; Rodentia; Caviidae
Rfam family: tRNA
About the family: Transfer RNA (tRNA) molecules are approximately 80 nucleotides in length.
Source: Rfam by way of RNAcentral
AUAGCUCAGUAGCACAGUAUUUGCCUGGCAAGCAGAAGGUCUUGAGUUUGAUUCUCAGU